RNAcentral lists this ribosomal RNA (366 nucleotides) under uncultured eukaryote. Its description in RNAcentral is "partial 18S ribosomal RNA". It matches the Rfam family "Eukaryotic small subunit ribosomal RNA", at positions 592 to 976 of the family's 1831-position model. The record is from RNAcentral.
CAAUAGCGUAUAUUAACGUUGUUGCAGUUAAAAAGCUCGUAGUUGGAUUUCUGGAGGGAGCGUCGGCCUGUAUUUACGAGUGCGUGACGUCUCUGUCCAUCCUUGCGGGAAGGCACGGCAUUGAUUUGUUGUGUCGGAUCGCAUCAUUUACUGUGAAAAAAUUAGAGUGUUCAAAGCAGGCUUUCGCUUGAAUACAUUAGCAUGGAAUAAUAAGAUAGGACUUUGGUGCUAUUUUGUUGGUUGAGCCUAAAGUAAUGAUUAAUAGGGAUAGUUGGGGGCACCUGUAUUGCGUUGUCAGAGGUGAAAUUCUUGGAUUUACGCAAGACAAACAGCUGCGAAAGCGUCUGCCAAGGAUGUUUUCAUUAA